UUUUCAAGCACUACGUUUUUA
Molecule: non-coding RNA, 21 nt
Filed under: Caenorhabditis elegans
Lineage: Eukaryota; Metazoa; Nematoda; Chromadorea; Rhabditida; Rhabditidae
Source: RNAcentral